GAUAUGGCUCAGGAUGAACGCUAGCGACAGGCUUAACACAUGCAAGUCGAGGGGCAGCAUGAUUUGUAGCAAUACAGAUUGAUGGCGACCGGCGCACGGGUGAGUAACGCGUAUGCAACUUACCUAUCAGAGGGGGAUAGCCCGGCGAAAGUCGGAUUAAUACCCCAUAAAACAGGGGUCCCGCAUGGGAAUAUUUGUUAAAGAUUCAUCGCUGAUAGAUAGGCAUGCGUU
RNAcentral lists this ribosomal RNA (231 nucleotides) under uncultured bacterium. Its description in RNAcentral is "partial 16S ribosomal RNA". It matches the Rfam family "Bacterial small subunit ribosomal RNA", at positions 15 to 237 of the family's 1533-position model. The record is from RNAcentral.